GGAUGAACGCUGGCGGCGUGCCUAAUACAUGCAAGUCGAACGCUUUGUGGUUCAACUGAUUUGAAGAGCUUGCUCAGAUAUGACGAUGGACAUUGCAAAGAGUGGCGAACGGGUGAGUAACACGUGGGAAACCUACCUCUUAGCAGGGGAUAACAUUUGGAAACAGAUGCUAAUACCGUAUAACAAUGACAACCGCAUGGUUGUUAUUUAAAAGAUGGUUCUGCUAUCACUAAGAGAUGGUCCCGCGGUGCAUUAGCUAGUUGGUAAGGUAAUGGCUUACCAAGGCGAUGAUGCAUAGCCGAGUUGAGAGACUGAUCGGCCACAAUGGGACUGAGACACGGCCCAUACUCCUACGGGAGGCAGCAGUAGGGAAUCUUCCACAAUGGGCGAAAGCCUGAUGGAGCAACGCCGCGUGUGUGAUGAAGGGUUUCGGCUCGUAAAACACUGUUGUAAGAGAAGAAUGACAUUGAGAGUAACUGUUCAAUGUGUGACGGUAUCUUACCAGAAAGGAACGGCUAAAUACGUGCCAGCAGCCGCGGUAAUACGUAUGUUCCAAGCGUUAUCCGGAUUUAUUGGGCGUAAAGCGAGCGCAGACGGUUAUUUAAGUCUGAAGUGAAAGCCCUCAGCUCAACUGAGGAAUUGCUUUGGAAACUGGAUGACUGA
Molecule: ribosomal RNA, 663 nt
Filed under: Weissella cibaria
Lineage: Bacteria; Bacillati; Bacillota; Bacilli; Lactobacillales; Lactobacillaceae
Description: bacterial SSU rRNA
Rfam family: Bacterial small subunit ribosomal RNA
Source: RNAcentral